UACAGAGGUCUCAAGCGUUGCUCGGAUUCAUUGGGCGUAAAGGGUGCGUAGGUGGCGCUGUAAGUCGGGUGUGAAAUUUCGGAGCUUAACUCCGAAACUGCAUUCCAUACUGCGGUGCUUGAGGACUGGAGAGGAGACUGGAAUUCAUGGUGUAGCAGUGAAAUGCGUAGAGAUCAUGAGGAAGACCAGUGGCGAAGGCGGGUCUCUGGACAGUUCCUGACACUGAGACACGAAGGCCAGGGGAGCAAACGGG
RNAcentral lists this ribosomal RNA (253 nucleotides) under uncultured bacterium. RNAcentral's name for it is "partial 16S ribosomal RNA". It matches the Rfam family "Bacterial small subunit ribosomal RNA", at positions 524 to 776 of the family's 1533-position model. The record is from RNAcentral.